Molecule: long non-coding RNA, 1670 nt
Organism: Chinchilla lanigera (long-tailed chinchilla)
Lineage: Eukaryota; Metazoa; Chordata; Mammalia; Rodentia; Chinchillidae
Source: Ensembl
AAGAUCCUCCUGCCUCAGCCUCCCACCUGCUGGGAUUACAGGCAUGCGCCACCAUGCCUGGCUCAAAAGAAUACUUUUGAAUACACAGGAAAAUAUAGUAGAGCACGAAUUACAAGAUUCCCCUUCUCCAGUUCGAGCUUCCUGUGUUCCGGGACACCACAGGAUGUGCUUCUGCCCUAGCAGAGGAGCUCUUCGACUUGCAGCAGUUGGUGCCCCCCGGUGGGUGCCAGUGUGUUCUGAACACCGGCUCCGGCGCAGCAUUCUUGCUCCAUGCCCAAUUUCUCCCUACUUCAAGCCCUCUGGCUGCAAAGAAUUUGGAAGCAGACAUUCUGGGGAAAGUGGCUGUGACUGCAGCUCAACUUCGGCAGCUCGGAUUGUCCGAGUCCAGCCCCGAGCUGCUGCUGUUGCUGCCGCGUUGUGGUGCUGCCGGCGUCUGUUCUCACGAGGUUUGCCGCUGAGCUGCGACCGCCGCCGUGGCCGGAUCCCCUGUGCGGACAGUGAGAGUGUCUUGUGGGACGUGCCCGCCACAGCCUGCGCAGCCACUGGGGUGUGCUGGAAGGAUUUGCGAGGCUGUGCACUCCCUCUUUCCGGGAGUUUUCCGCUACAGAUAAGGCACCACCGUCUUCCUGUGGUCUCCACCUUUACAGCCGCCAGGGCUGUGGGCGAGAAGCUGACGUCAGCCUUGCUGUGGCCCUCCUGGGGGACGCCAAUGCAGGUAACGCUCGGCUGCUGCGCGUCCGCGGGGCUGGGCAGAGUACACAAGAUGGACCGUUUCUCCUCUGGGGCACCGUGCAGACGGACACUGUCUACGGUGAAGCCGGAUUCUUUCUGUGGAUUCUGAUCACAGCUCCCAUCUCGCUUCCCAUCACCCGUUCUCCAGCCUGCAGUUCAUGAUGUUUUUCCAGAAACCCACCGAUCCCAUCAGACAUUUGAAAGUCGCACCAGUUUUGAGUCGCCGCUGGGACGAAGCGCAAAGCCGACUGGAGGUUUACAGGCCCUGCACUGCGCAGGCGCUGCCUCGGGCCUGUCUGCCGCCCCUUCUGUGUGUUCUGCGUCAUACCUCCUGUGCCUCCUGCCGCCUCCAAAAGUGCUACUUUUUCUGGAAAUCUUUCCUUCAGCAAAUUUUCGCCUUUACUAUAUGGCCAGGCGCUCUUCCUGAGCUCUCCGUGCAUUUACAGUCUGGAGAGAAACAGAGUUUUAAAAAAUCAGCUCAAAAAAAAAAAAAAAAAAAAAAUCAGAGCGAGUGCACAUAACAUUACAAGGUAAAGAUGCCGGGCGUGAGGGCGCACACCUGUAAUCCCAGCACUCAGGAGGCUGAGGCAGGAGCGUCAUUGCAAGAUGCCCCCCUGGGCUACAAAGUGAGUUUAAGGCCAGCCUGAACUGCAUAGUGAAACCCUGUCUCAAAAAAGACAAAAAUAAAACAAAACAAAAAAACGCCAUGUGGAAAAGAGCAAAGCACAACCAGCAGAACUGGGUAGCGUCGCUCGAUGGAGACAGGGACGCAGCAGCAGGUUUGGCCUGGGUUUGGAAUUUCUGAAGUCCCCGGUAAAACCAAACUAGGGCUGGGAAGGGAGCUCAGAGAUAGAGCACAUGUUAGCGUGCAUGAGAGAGGCCCUGGCACUCGGGAGGCUGAGGCAGGAGGAUCAUUGCCAGUUCGAGACCAGCCUGGG